AGCUGAUCACUGGGCAUAAAGCGUGCGCAGGCGGUUUUGUAAGACAGAGGUGAAAUCCCCGGGCUCAACCUGGGAACUGCCUUUGUGACUGCAAGGCUGGAGUGCGGCAGAGGGGGAUGGAAUUCCGCGUGUAGCAGUGAAAUGCGUAGAUAUGCGGAGGAACACCGAUGGCGAAGGCAAUCCCCUGGGCCUGCACUGACGCUCAUGCACGAAAGCGUGGGGAGCAAACA
RNAcentral lists this ribosomal RNA (230 nucleotides) under uncultured Alicycliphilus sp. RNAcentral describes it as "partial 16S ribosomal RNA". It matches the Rfam family "Bacterial small subunit ribosomal RNA", at positions 550 to 774 of the family's 1533-position model. Lineage: Bacteria; Pseudomonadati; Pseudomonadota; Betaproteobacteria; Burkholderiales; Comamonadaceae. The record is from RNAcentral.